GCCGUGGCUCAGUGGCAGAGCAUCUCCUUGGCAAUCAGAAGGUCACGGGUUCAAUCCCCAGCAUCUCCA
RNAcentral lists this transfer RNA (69 nucleotides) under Sphaerodactylus townsendi. RNAcentral's name for it is "tRNA-Ala". Lineage: Eukaryota; Metazoa; Chordata; Lepidosauria; Squamata; Sphaerodactylidae. The record is from RNAcentral.